UCAGAUAAGUGUGAAGUGUGGUUUUAUUGUACAGUAAUAAAGCCUCCUUGUUUUUGGUCCUUGUUCUCAACGCUAACACGAUGGCUGUUGCCCUCACAGCUGCGUGACAUCGGAGCAAAGCUUGCCAGAGAUUUUUGAGCGGAAAUGAAAUCACUGAUUCCCAUCAUGCUGUAGAUCUCCAUGACACAGGAAGAAGAUCUGAUCAGCUGAGGAGACUAACAAGCAAGCGAUUUUUUUCUUCCCGGUUCUCGGCACGCGGGAGGCCGCGUGACCUUCUUUAGGUGUGUGUGUGUUCUAGUGAAGAGAGAACAGCGUGCUCUCGUCGAUCACCUCUCUUUCUCCGACGCUGUCAGGGGCUAAAGGCUGAAAAAGCUUGAACAGAACGACGGGUCUCGUGAUACACAGAAGGUUCAUUAAGGUUGAGAUUUGGCUGCAACAUUACAACGCUAACGUUCCUGCGACGGAAACGAUCGUCACUUUCCACUGUGACUUUCUCUGCUGUGUAGUGAGACGACCCACAGAUGAACGCCGCAGGAUCCUGGAACAAAACUAGUCGUCCCUGAGCAGCUGUGGGUUUAUUAGGGACUGUGGAUGUGUAAGGAUUCAACACUUUGUAUGAGGGUCUUAAAAUAAUACAGAAAGUUGUUGGUUAGAAUCGAUUUUGGUCUUGGUCUUGGUUCCUCCGAUAGAAUGGUUCUAGGUGUUGUCUUGGUUCCUCUGAUAGAAUGGUUCUAGGUGUUGUCUUGGUUCCUCUGAUAGAAUGGUUCUAGACCAUGUUUUGGUUCCUCUGAUAGAAUGGUUCUAGGUGUUGUCUUGGUUCCUCUGAUGGAAUGGUUCUAGGUGUUGUCUUGGUUCCUCUGAUAGAAUGGUUCUAGACCAUGUUUUGGUUCCUCUGAUAGAAUGGUUCUAGACCAUGUUUUGGUUCCUCUGAUAGAAUGGUUCUAGGUGUUGUCUUGGUUCCUCUGAUAGAAUGGUUCUAGACCAUGUUUUGGUUCCUCUGAUAGAAUGGUUCUAGGUGUUGUCUUGGUUCCUCUGAUAGAAUGGUUCUAGACCAUGUUUUGGUUCCUCUGAUAGAAUGGUUCUAGGUGUUGUCUUGGUUCCUCUGAUAGAAUGGUUCUAGACCAUGUUUUGGUUCCUCUGAUAGAAUGGUUCUAGGUUUUGUCUUGGUUCCUCUGAUGGAAUGGAUCCAAGAUCUUGUCUUGGUCUGUUGUUUGGAAUGAGAUGACACAUUCUCAUGGUUUCUCUGAUAGAAUAAAUCUAGAGCACGUCUCGGUUUCUGAGCCGAAACGGGUCCAGAUCUCGUUUUGGUUUAUUGGAAUGGUUUUAUAAUGUUUAAUAUCCCAGAAAGUCAGAUGUUUCUUCAUAAAUAAUGCUAUUUGAUGAUUGUUAUUGAGCUAACAAAGAAAAGAAGAGUAACGAAAUCCAGCAGCAGGAAAUUAAUUAUUCAGGAAUUUCUGCUUCCUGUCAUUUUUACGGCUGAGGGUUCUCGUCGUGAACAGACUACGGGUGCUCUGACAGGCCUCAGACCCUCAUGCCUUUGCAUUUUCUCUCAUUUCCACGCAUUCUCAGUGCCGCAAGAAAAUCCGUCUCCGACAGGAAGUGGGAGACGAGCCGCGUGGCAGAGAGACGAGCGACGGUGACAACUGAACAGAGGAAUCGACGCAAUCUCAAGGUCUUCUGCUCCAAAUCCCCCCAAAAAAAACACAUCUGUGUCCCUCACCGACACCCACUUCCUGGUCAAAGUUCACACAAAAGCAGCUUGUUAAGUUUCUGCAUUGCUAUUUGAAGGAUCGCUCCAAAGUGCUAUGUGAUGAAUACUCAUGCGUCGUCAUUAGAAACCCUUAAAGCCACGAGGCACCAGAUUUACAUUUACAUUUGCAUUUAUUCAUUCGGUGCCCGCUUUUACCCGACUCGACUUACACACGGAGCGGCAUCUGAGCUGUUAAACCGUUAAAGGAACUGGCAAAAACACAACACACCAUUUCCAGAUGGAGUGAAUGUCGAGAAGUCUGUGAACACCGUGAGUUCGUCUCGCGAUACCAGAACCAGAACAAGAAAAAAGAGGAAGAAAAAAAUGACACGCAACCAAGAUUCGAAUUUCCUUCGAGUUCUACGACACGUCCCGUAUUUGGUGCGAUACGGUCGUGAGUUUUGGCAAAAAAAAAAAAAAAGUACAUCCUCAUUCGUCCUCGUGUAGAACAACUUGUCUGGUCAUGAUAUGAAUUUUCUAGAUACUUUCAUAAUAUCAAUUGGAAAGGCUCUAGAUCUUCUCUAGGGUUUAAAUCCCAUCUGCUGUGAUCGGGUCUCACUAAUAAUUAGAGGGAUUCGGGUAAAAGAUCGACUGCCGAGUGCUUUAUAGAUGGAAAUUUGCUCAAUGCAUCACUGGUCACACACCUCCAUUAUAUAUUAAGCCAUCCUGCAUUAAAUGCUGUGUGUGUGUGUGUGUGUGUGUGUGUGUGUGUGUGUGUGUGUGUGUGUGUGUGUGUGUGCUCUGUCACCAGCUAAAUAGAUUGAACUCAUAAAGUAGGAGCCAUAACCAAUCUGACUCCGAGUGUCCAUCAUGCAGAGAAACUGCUGACUCUCAGAUUUACAAGGUAAUGCGGUGCAGCCGUGCAGUGGUGCAGCGGUGCAGCCGUGCAGCCAUGCAGCGGUGCAGCCAUGCAGCGGUGCAG
Molecule: long non-coding RNA, 2672 nt
Organism: Tachysurus fulvidraco (yellow catfish)
Lineage: Eukaryota; Metazoa; Chordata; Actinopteri; Siluriformes; Bagridae
Exons: 3
Source: RefSeq, a predicted model, not a curated record